This 339-nucleotide unclassified non-coding RNA is filed under the name soil metagenome. RNAcentral's name for it is "partial contains 5.8S ribosomal RNA, internal transcribed spacer 2, and large subunit ribosomal RNA". The stretch from base 1 to 120 matches the Rfam family "5.8S ribosomal RNA", at positions 35 to 154 of the family's 154-position model. The record is from RNAcentral.
GAUGAAGAACGUAGCGAAAUGCGAUACGUAGUGUGAAUUGCAGAAUUCAGUGAAUCAUCGAAUCUUUGAACGCACAUUGCACCUCUCGGUAUUCCGGGAGGUAUGCCUGUUCGAGCGUCAUUUGUACCCUUAAGCUCUGCUUGGUGUUGGGUGUUUGUUCCGCCUCUGUGUGUGAACUCGCCUCAAAACAAUUGGCAGCCGGCGUACUUGUUUCGGAGCGCAGCACAUUUUGCGAUCCAGAUCAACGUACAGCGGCAUCCAAGAAGCCUUAUUUAACGCUCUUGACCUCGGAUCAGGUAGGGAUACCCGCUGAACUUAAGCAUAUCAAUAAGCGGAGGA